This 5073-nucleotide long non-coding RNA is filed under the name Sus scrofa (pig). RNAcentral describes it as "lncRNA (ENSSSCG00005026958.1)". Lineage: Eukaryota; Metazoa; Chordata; Mammalia; Artiodactyla; Suidae. The record is from RNAcentral.
AGAGAAUUUAAAAACGAUGGCAAAGCUGACCAAGAGCCAGCUCCCCCCCGCCCCCGCUUUUCUUGGCCUGCUAGUCUAAGCAAUGCCAGUGAUAAAAUACCUUUUCCCCCUCAAAUCUCUCGUGGUCUAGUUUCCGUAUAUUUGCUGUGAAGCCUGUUGAGGCAGUCGUUAGCUUUGAUAAGCAUGGUCUUUCAGUUCACAGGGAGGCUGUGUUAUUGCACUGGGCUCCACACCCGUGGAUGAAGCUGUACACAUUAGUUGCGAAGGAACGUUCCCGAUGAAUUGGCCCUGGAGCUCGCCAUCUCCAGCCCCUGGUUCUCCUGUGCCAAACAGUAGCUUGAGUCAGGAGUCAUAGCACAGUGGUUGUCUUUUUGGGUGACCACUGGAGGUUUCGUUGGUGUUUAAAACAAUUCGGGGUGUAAUAUUGUUGCUGGGUACCUGCAGAUUUUAGUUCAUACAUGAAAUAUGUUGUCACUAGUUUCCCAGAUGGAAGAUAGACACCCAGCAGCGAAGUUUGAGAAUUCUAAUUGUUCCGUGUCCUCACCAGCACCUGGCAUUUCUUUUUAGAAAGUGAAAAUUUGGGAGUUCCCAUUGUGGCACAGCGGAAAUUAAUCUGACUAGGAACCAUGAGGUUGCGGGUUCGAUCCCUGGCCUUGCUCAGUGGGUUAAGGAUCCAUUGCUGUGAGCUGUGGUGUAGGUCUCAGAUGCGGCUCAGAUCCCGCGUUGCUGUGGCUGUGGUGUAGGCUGGCGGCUACAGCUCUGAUUAGACCCCUAGCCUGGGAACCACCAUAUGCCGUGAGAGCUGCCCAAGAAAUGGCAAAAAGACAAAAACAAAACAAACAAACAAAAUGCAGUAUGCUUGUGUACACACACCAGUUACUUCAUGUGCAGUAAAGGAAUGGAGGAGGAGAAAAUGAAAGAAUAGAGAAAAAUGACCCUGUGGCCGUCGGGAUGGGUGGGGCCAAAUUGUGGUUUUCGAAUCGAGAAUGUCUUCCUGGUCUGGAGGAACCAGAUUCUGCAGGAAAGAGCAGGUUCUCCUGUCGGCCGCUGGAGCACAUCAGCUGUAUCUUCAUCCUGCAGUUCCAGCUGGGCGGGUGUGUCUGUUUCAUCGACUGGCUGCCCAUCAAGUCAGAAUCUGAUCUGCCUCAUUGACAAACCCUGUCAUUCACAAUAGGCUUUCAUUAGUGUCCUAAGUGGUGUAUGUCUCUUGAUCUUAAAUGCCGCAGAACCAUCCUGCCCCGCCACCUUCACGUUAAUAUGAUUGUUGUUCUCAGCCCCGACUGCUUCCUUGGGCUCCGUCAGCCAAGGUGAGCACCGAAUGAGCACACAGGCAGCACCCCUAGCAUCUCCUGUCUGAUCACAUCUCUUCUUCUGCAUCCCUUUUCCACUUUUAAGUGGAUUACAUUGGGCUCCCCCAGAUAAUCCAGGAUAAUUUCCCCCUUCUGAAGUCUGUGGAUUAGCAACCUUAAUUCCAUCCCCAGUUUAAAUUCCCCUUUGUCGUGUAAGGUAACACCUUCACAGGCUCUUGGGAUCAGGAUGUGGACAUCUUUGGGGCCAUUACUCUGCCUACUGCAGGCUCCUUCUGUAUUUCCCUUGUACUCUGAUCUGUACUGAGUUGUGUAGAAGUUACCUGUUUACAGCAGUUCUGGUUGUGGCUCAGCAGGUUAAGAACCCGACAUAGUGUCUGUGAGGAUGUGGAUUCGAUCCCUGGCCUCGCUCAGUGGAUCUGGUGUUGCUGCAAGCUCUGGUGAAGGUCGCAGAUGCGGCUCAGAUCUUGUGUGGCUGUAACUCUGGUGUCAGCCAGCAGCUGCAGCUCGGAUUUGACCCCUGACCUGGGAACUUGCAUAUGCCGCAGGCAAGGCCCUAAAGAGACACACACACAAAAAGUUGUAUUUUGAAUAUCUCUGCCUAAUGUGGUCAGAUUGUCACUCCCCGCACCUAUCUGGCUGCCCGGCCUCCUUGUCACGCCCCGGGAUGAUGUCCACACGCAGGCCUCCUCUCGUGGCUGCCGCCUUCUCUGCUCCCUGUCCCGGAAGCCUCCCGCCCAGCACCGAGUCUGGGCCCUGGAGGACCGAAGUGCUGAGGGGAUGGCAGAGCCCGGAGCCUGUGGCCGGCUUGCCUGCCGUGUGCAUCAACACAGGGAGCGAGUUUUCUAGGGCUGAGCAGCUUUCCGCAGAGGAAACCAGGCGAUUUUGUUUGUUUUCCUCACAUGAAAAGGGCGUAUGUCUCUUCUGUAAUAGGCCUGUUAUUUGUGUGUGCAGAGUACCGACUGGGACUAGAGUGCUGGCCUCCCCUCAGCAGAGCUCAGUGAUACGCUCCGUGCCGUGCCAUGCCACAGGCAGAAGAGUCUCCUGGCACACCGGGAACCCUGAGAGCUUUCUCCUGUAGACUGAGGACAUUUAACUGGACACAGGAUCAGCCUCCAGACUGGUGUUUGAGAGCACCUCAGACCUUGUGGAUAUGUUGUUAUUGGCAUGGAAGGCCAGGCCUAUAGUUCUCCUAUCUAUAGGGGCUCGCAGAAAGCACGUGGAGCUGGAGUCUCACCAACGCCUGGGAGAUGUGCCCCUGUCUCUCUUGUCUGAUUCCAGCCACAUGGAUAGCUUCCCUUCCCAUUUGGAUGCCCUUUCAAUGAUGCGUAUUUGAUGUGGGAAGCUUUAUAGAGGAAGCCUGGUGGCAUCUGUGAAACAUUAAGCACUCUUGCUUAUAGUGCAAUGAAUAUAGGCCUUUUGUUCAGAAUCCCCCUGGUUCUGGGAGGGGAACUGAUUCGUUACCUUCUUCUCGCGCCCCCCUCUGGCUUUGGGAAAGAAUGUUCAGGGCAUCUUGGUUGGUCCCUUUGAUUUGGCCUGUUCUCAGAGGGCGAAGACACUUGGCAUCACUGUCGGGAGCCUUGGGGGUUGCCGACCUGAUUGGAUUACUUGAAAUAACCUUGUGUGCUUGGUUAAGGGUGUGCUUUGUUGAAAAAGUGUUAUCUUUUGUUCUAAGAACUCAAAGAGGUUUUCCUGACCACCUCUCUCCCACCCCCACGAGCGGAAGAACUAUGGGUAACUGUUUCCAGAGUCCUCCCCUGUUGGUUAGAUAAUUGGGGUGGGGAUAUUAGUGGUGCAGUGUGUGCUUAAACAGUGUUUUCAGUGGAGAGAAUUCAAGUCAUAACGCAAGGGAGUCUCUCCCUGCCCUGGGAGGCUUUCGAAGCGUUUGGAAUGGAAUGGUUAAUGCCGCAAGUUGGGCCAUGGAACUGUUGCUGGGGCAACCUUAGCAUGAAGUUUCCGGCUCUUGUGCUUUUCUUUUUCAUCGGUGCUUUCUUUAUUUCUGUUGAGAGAAUGAGAAGAUGCUGGGGAAGAAAGGAGACUUUUAGGUGUGUGCUUUUGGGAACUCGGACUGAAGCGAACUGUGCUCUGAAGGGCACGCAGGGCUGGCGGGGAGCUGCCCUGGUGGGAGGCCCUUGUGAUGAGUGUGUGCCUGUUUUGUGGGGGUGGGGGUGGGGGGGUGGUUUCUGUCGUGAGCACCGUGUGCUUUGCCCCCUUGGUCCCCGCCGCACUGUGAUGCGCCCUGGCCGGUGUGGUGGGAAGCAUGAGGGGGCCUCUGCAGCAGAGCAGGUGCUCCCAGGAGGAGGCUGCAGCGUAUUCCUGCCUGGUCCCCUCAUUGCUCGGCAGGUGAUAACAAGACCCUGGGGCCGCCAGAGGACCACAGGACACCUUUCCUUUCCAGCUCUCUGCCAGUCUUCUCCUCCAGCUGCUAUAGCAAAAAGCGGUUUUGCCAGGAGCAGGCUUAAUUCUAAAUGUCCUGGUUUGUUUUUUUUUUUUUUUUCCCCCCUCCGGAGGGAAUGGCUGUACAAGCAAAAGCAUCUUCCUUUCUCACUCUGAAGUAUUUUUUCACUCAAAAUAAGUGAAAAAAUGGGUUGAAGGAGAUUUAUUUUCAGAAGAGAAAAGAAACAAAAAAUCUCCAGCUCUGCUCAAGGAUGUUGAAGCUGGGAUGAGCGAAGGGUUAGGGGAACAUGACAUUAGAAAUUGAUUAAAACAAACCAACAGACUGCCUUGUUUCAUCAUUAAUGGCUCAACUUAUGCUCUUUCCUUCCAUCACCCUGCAGAAUCCUGGUUACUGUUUUCUGGUUAUGGAACAAAACAAAAAUAAUGACUCUUUUGCCUUGACCCAGGCUCAGAGAUGAAACCAGAAGCCAAAUUGACCCUGUGUGAUGGCUGAUCAUUAGGCACAGAAGCAAACUCUGUUGAGAAGGCUCGUGUCUCCCUCAAGGACCGCUAGGCUGUGUGUUACCAGGGACCAGGAGUUACCAAGCUUCUGGCCCAAGUCCAGGUUGGAAGCCGUGAUGCCGUGUAGCCCGCCACCUCCAUCUGCUGCGGUGGAGAGCCAGCCAGCUUGCUGGGAGGGGCCCCCAUCUCUACAGUGACAGCUUCCAUGCCCUCGCUGCCUUGUCAUGAGCGUCCACCCUGGGAGAGUCCGCUGUGGUGAGAUGGGUGUGGAUGACAGCUGUGGGUGCCACCACGGCAGCUGCCGUCUGAUUGUGUGUCUGCCCUGGGGCAGCUGGGCGCAAGGCGGCCAAGCCACACUCACCAAGAAGUUUGAGUCACUGAAGUAACUGCAGGCAGCUGGGAAGUAACAGCUGUGAACAGAAAACCAGCUGUUCUCUGGAGGCUGUGCCAGCGUGGCCAGAGCAAGAGGAACAGAGCUGGGAACAGAAAAAUGUGCGGUAAUGCUAAAGCGAAAAGAGAAAUGCCUUCAUUUAAACAGAUGUAUAGAUGAUUCCCAGGGAGGAAAGACAUAACAUAGGGAGCACUUUGAAGAACUCACAUUAAAAUUAUGAAAUGCAGAUUGAGAUAUUCUGCUUAUAUGUAAAAAAGUUGUCUGUGUUUCUUAUAUGUGACUUGAAUGGUAUAAAAAAGCCAAAAAAGGAGUUCCCAUUGUGGCGCAGCGAAAAUGAAUCCGACUAGGAACCAUGAGGUUGCAGGUUCAAACCCUGGCCUCAAUCAGUGGGUUAAAGGAUCCGGUGUUGCUGUGAGCCGUGGUGUAGGUUGCAGACGUGGCUCAGAUCCUGUGUUGCUGUGGCUGUGGUGUAGGCCU